Molecule: small nuclear RNA, 108 nt
Organism: Octopus sinensis (East Asian common octopus)
Lineage: Eukaryota; Metazoa; Mollusca; Cephalopoda; Octopoda; Octopodidae
Source: RefSeq, a predicted model, not a curated record
GUCUGCAAUCGCUUCGACCGUACAUAUACAAAAAUUGGAACGUUACAGAGAUUAACAUGACCCCUGCACAAAGAUGACACACAAAUUUGUGAAGUGUUCCAUAUUUUU